AGCAGCCGCGGUAAUUCCAGCUCCAAUAGCGUAUAUUAAAGUUGUUGCAGUUAAAAAGCUCGUAGUUGAAUUUCGGGAUCAAUUUGCUGGUCGUGCCUCUGGUACGUACUGGUAUUAUUGGUUUCUCCCUUCUGACGAACCAUGAUGUCAUUAAUUUGAUGUCGUGGAGAAUCAGGACUGUUACUUUGAAAAAUUAGAGUGUUUAAAGCAGGCAUUAGCUUGAAUACAUUAGCAUGGAAUAAUGAAAUAGGACGUUUGAUCCUAUUUUGUUGGUUUCUAGGAUUGACGUAAUGAUUAAUAGGGAUAGUUGGGGGCAUUAGUAUUCAAUUGUCAGAGGUGAAAUUCUUGGAUUUAUUGAAGACUAACUACUGCGAAAGCAUUUGCCAAGGAUGUUUUCAUUAAUCAAGAACGAAAGUUAGGGGAUCGAAGACGAUCAGAUACCGUCGUAGUCUUAACCAUAAACUAUGCCGACUAGGGAUCGGAUGAUGUUAAUUUUUAAUGACUC
Molecule: ribosomal RNA, 505 nt
Filed under: uncultured Glomus
Lineage: Eukaryota; Fungi; Glomeromycota; Glomeromycetes; Glomerales; Glomeraceae
Description: SSU rRNA
Rfam family: Eukaryotic small subunit ribosomal RNA
Source: RNAcentral